This 77-nucleotide transfer RNA is filed under the name Nevskiaceae bacterium. RNAcentral's name for it is "Sinobacteraceae bacterium tRNA-Arg". It matches the Rfam family "tRNA". From Rfam's summary of the family: Transfer RNA (tRNA) molecules are approximately 80 nucleotides in length. Their secondary structure includes four short double-helical elements and three loops (D, anti-codon, and T loops). Further hydrogen bonds mediate the characteristic L-shaped molecular structure. tRNAs have two regions of fundamental functional importance: the anti-codon, which is responsible for specific mRNA codon recognition, and the 3' end, to which the tRNAs corresponding amino acid is attached (by aminoacyl-tRNA synthetases). tRNAs cope with the degeneracy of the genetic code in two manners: having more than one tRNA (with a specific anti-codon) for a particular amino acid; and 'wobble' base-pairing, i.e. permitting non-standard base-pairing at the 3rd anti-codon position. The record is from RNAcentral. Lineage: Bacteria; Pseudomonadati; Pseudomonadota; Gammaproteobacteria; Nevskiales; Nevskiaceae.
GUCCCCGUAGCUCAGCUGGAUAGAGCGGCCCCCUCCUAAGGGGCAGGCCACUGGUUCGACUCCGGUCGGGGACACCA